This 611-nucleotide ribosomal RNA is filed under the name Leptogium sessile. RNAcentral's name for it is "eukaryotic LSU rRNA". It matches the Rfam family "Eukaryotic large subunit ribosomal RNA", at positions 680 to 1292 of the family's 3401-position model. Lineage: Eukaryota; Fungi; Ascomycota; Lecanoromycetes; Peltigerales; Collemataceae. The record is from RNAcentral.
GUCCCCGCGAGUGUUCGGGCGUCAAACCCCCGGCGCGGAAUGAAAGUGAACGGAGGUGGGACCCCCGCGAGGGGCGCACCAUCGACCGAUCCUGAUGUCUUCGGAUGGAUUUGAGUACGAGCGCGGCCGUUGGGACCCGAAAGAUGGUGAACUAUGCCUGGGUAGGGUGAAGCCAGAGGAAACUCUGGUGGAGGCUCGCAGCGGUUCUGACGUGCAAAUCGAUCGUCAAACCUGGGCAUAGGGGCGAAAGACUAAUCGAACCAUCUAGUAGCUGGUUCCUGUCGAAGUUUCCCUCAGGAUAGCAGUCGCGCGGGCGGUUUUAUGAGGUAAAGCGAAUGAUUAGAGGCCUUGGGGGUGCAACACCCUUAACCUAUUCUCAAACUUUAAAUAUGUAAGAAGCCCCUGUUGCUUCGGUGAACGGGGGCGUGCGAACGCGGCGCGGCUAGUGGGCCAUUUUUGGUAAGCAGAACUGGCGAUGCGGGAUGAACCGAACGCGGGGUUAAGGUGCCGGAAUGCACGCUCAUCAGACACCACAAAAGAUGUCAAUUCAUCCGGACAGCCGGACGGUGGCCAUGGAAGCCGGAACCCGCCAAGGAGUGCGUAACAGCUCA